Molecule: long non-coding RNA, 572 nt
Filed under: Homo sapiens (human)
Lineage: Eukaryota; Metazoa; Chordata; Mammalia; Primates; Hominidae
Description: non-protein coding lnc-MYEF2-1:2
Source: RNAcentral
UGAAAUGGUGCGUGGUGAGACCUGUCUCCCCAACACAAGCUAGAAGACAACAAAAUAGCAGCCAGGAAACGCUCUGAUAAAGCUCUAGAUAGCUGCCAGGCCGAGCUCAAGGGAGCAGAACUAAGUUACAUGAUUCUGCUGCGGAUGUAUAAGCACCACUCCAAUAAUUUAUUAUCACGGUUGGAGACUUUGACUUGUCACUUUAUGACUUGAAAUAUGGCUCCAUGGUAAAUGCCCAUAAAGCUGAUUUUUAAAAUCUGGAUAUUACAGUUCUAAUUCUCACUUAGUUUAAAAGGUAGAAUAGGCUUCUUGUUUCAUAGAUCAUUUGUGUGAAUGUUGAUUUGUUAUGUCAUUGACAUCAUACACACAUGCUUACAUUUUGAAGGUUGCUAGCGUUUCCCAUUAAUGCUUCUGAAUUGAUGCCAAAGGAAAGCAUUGAUUAUAAAUUAGGUUCCUUGGUAUUAGUUGGUGCAUGACCCUGACCCUUUUCAAGCUAUAUGAAAGGUAAUGAUGCUCUCAAAAGCCUGCAAAAUGGCUUAUUCAGGAAAGCAUAAUGGAUUAAAAAUCCAUUA